GCCUACGGGAGGCAGCAGUGGGGAAUAUUGGGCAAUGGGCGCAAGCCUGACCCAGCAACGCCGCGUGAAGGAAGAAGGCUUUCGGGUUGUAAACUUCUUUUCUCAGGGACGAAGAAAGUGACGGUACCUGAGGAAUAAGCCACGGCUAACUACGUGCCAGCAGCCGCGGUAAUACGUAGGUGGCAAGCGUUAUCCGGAAUUACUGGGUGUAAAGGGAGCGUAGGCGGGGAUGCAAGUUGGGUGUCAAAACUAUCGGCUCAACCGAUAGUCGCACUCAAAACUGCAGCUCUUGAG
RNAcentral lists this ribosomal RNA (294 nucleotides) under uncultured bacterium. Its description in RNAcentral is "partial 16S ribosomal RNA". It matches the Rfam family "Bacterial small subunit ribosomal RNA", at positions 337 to 646 of the family's 1533-position model. The record is from RNAcentral.